Molecule: ribosomal RNA, 465 nt
Filed under: uncultured bacterium
Lineage: Bacteria
Description: partial 16S ribosomal RNA
Rfam family: Bacterial small subunit ribosomal RNA
Source: RNAcentral
GACGAACGCUGGCGGCGUGCUUAACACAUGCAAGUCGAACGGAAAGGCCCUGCUUGCAGGGUACUCGAGUGGCGAACGGGUGAGUAACACGUGGGUGAUCUGCCCUGCACUUCGGGAUAAGCCUGGGCAACUGGGUCUAAUACCGGAUAGGAGCCAUUUUUAGUGUGAUGGUUGGAAAGUUUUUUCGGUGUAGGAUGAGCUCGCGGCCUAUCAGCUUGUUGGUGGGGUAAUGGCCUACCAAGGCGGCGACGGGUAGCCGGCCUGAGAGGGUGGACGGCCACAUUGGGACUGAGAUACGGCCCAGACGCCGACGGGAGGCAGCAGGGGGGAAUAUUGCACAAUGGGCGCAAGGCGGAUGCAGCGACGCCGCGUGGGGGAUGACGGCCUUCGGGUUGUAAACUCCUUUCGCUAGGGACGAAGCUUUUUGUGACGGUACCUAGAGAAGAAGCACCGGCUAACUACGUG